RNAcentral lists this microRNA precursor (71 nucleotides) under Aedes aegypti (yellow fever mosquito). Its description in RNAcentral is "partial AAEL017818-RA". It matches the Rfam family "mir-957 microRNA precursor family". Lineage: Eukaryota; Metazoa; Arthropoda; Insecta; Diptera; Culicidae. The record is from RNAcentral.
GGCGUUAGUUUUGGGCGGGUUUUAGUGUAUUUCGAUUAGAGUAUCAAUUGAAACCGUCCAAAACUGAGGCC